UGGUAACAUCUACAACCAUGGGUGUUUGAGUGUUUGAGGUUUGGGGGUUAGAAGCAGCUUCCAUUUGUUGGGAGAAGUUAAAAACAGCUUGUUCUUGAGGAUUCAUGACGAAGAUUGAUGAAGAAGAUGAAGAACUGAGAAGGUUGCAGAGAAAACUUCGAGAGAGGGUUUAGGGUUUAAGAGUGAGUGAGAGUGAUAAGUGUGUGAAAUGUGAGAAAAGUG
This 222-nucleotide long non-coding RNA is filed under the name Lathyrus oleraceus (garden pea). RNAcentral describes it as "Pisum sativum (pea) long non-coding RNA (PSAT_LNC025605)". Lineage: Eukaryota; Viridiplantae; Streptophyta; Magnoliopsida; Fabales; Fabaceae. The record is from RNAcentral.